GAUGAAGAACGUAGCAAAAUGCGAUAAGUAAUGUGAAUUGCAGAAUUCAGUGAAUCAUCGAAUCUUUGAACGCACAUUGCGCCCGCUGGUAUUCCGGCGGGCAUGCCUGUUCGAGCGUCAUUUCAACCCUCAAGCCCCCCGGGUUUGGUGUUGGGGAUCGGCUCUGCCUCACGGCGGUGCCGCCCCCGAAAUAUAUUGGCGGUCUCGCUGCAGCCUCCAUUGCGUAGUAGCUAACACCUCGCAACUGGAACGCGGCGCGGCCAUGCCGUAAAACCCCAACUUCUGAAUGUUGACCUCGGAUCAGGUAGGAAUACCCGCUGAACUUAAGCAUAUCAAUAAGCGGAGGA
This 347-nucleotide unclassified non-coding RNA is filed under the name soil metagenome. RNAcentral describes it as "partial contains 5.8S ribosomal RNA, internal transcribed spacer 2, and large subunit ribosomal RNA". The stretch from base 1 to 120 matches the Rfam family "5.8S ribosomal RNA", at positions 35 to 154 of the family's 154-position model. The record is from RNAcentral.